Long non-coding RNA from Planococcus citri (citrus mealybug), 965 nucleotides. RefSeq lists it as uncharacterized. The record is from RefSeq and is a predicted model, not a curated record. The transcript is spliced from 2 exons. Lineage: Eukaryota; Metazoa; Arthropoda; Insecta; Hemiptera; Pseudococcidae.
UACCAGAACCAAAACGUGGCAAAUAUUUCAACAAGUCAGUCGCAAUUUUUCGCCAGCUGAGGUAUACGUACGAUAUCACAAAAGACACCUGCAUUCAGCAAUCAUUUCAUGACUUUCUUGUUCACGUUUACGAACGUUUUUAAAUCAUAUACGAUUCGAGAACUUCUUUCCUCAGUCAAUUUUAUCACCUAUUAAAUUGAAAAUGUCAUCUAAUUCAAAAAAAAUCAUUCUCAUCAUCACCAUUUUAAUAAGAAUUCGAAUUUCUUUGCAAUUGAAUUUCGCCCAGGAACAAAUAAAAAAUAAACUUAUCAUUUCGACUGCAAAUUUAGAUCCAAAAAUGAGAGUACAAUUCGCCGAUUAUUUGAAGACUUUUAUCGACUCAGCACCUGCGCCUAUGAUACCGCAGUUCGUGGUUAAAAUGAUGAACGAAGUUAUAGAUGAAUACAAAUCAGAAUGUUUGAACAAUUCAGAAAAAAAACUAGGUUCGAACUCACAAACGCCAAAUUUAAUGGACGUAGAAUACAUUUACGGUAACAUUUUCGCGGAUAAAGUACAACAACGUCUGACUCCAGAAGAGCUCAAUCACUUCAUGAAAUCAGUAAACGAAGAUCAACAAUCCAGCAAAAUAAGCGCGGCAAGGUAUUUAACAAUUCAUCUGGAGAAAGAGCUGAAAAAAGUAUCAGAACAAUUCGCACAACAAUUGGAAAAAGUAAUCGAUAAAUUGGCGACAGAUACAAUCAAUCAUAUAAAUGAACUAUAAAUGAACACAAGUGAAAACCAGACGUCUGAUCAUUUGGUCGAACAUGAUGAUAAAUUUCAAUUCAGCAUUUUCUAUUUUACGAAAGUUCAUCACUGAUAUUCAUCUUCCAAUCAAGAAUCUUCACAAUAUUGAAAUCAUGAACGAAACUAUUCUGUACCCAGUAGAAUCAAUUUUUUGAAUAAUACAGGUACUUUUUGAUCAGUCU